This 200-nucleotide ribosomal RNA is filed under the name uncultured Glomus. RNAcentral describes it as "partial small subunit ribosomal RNA". It matches the Rfam family "Eukaryotic small subunit ribosomal RNA", at positions 591 to 789 of the family's 1831-position model. Lineage: Eukaryota; Fungi; Glomeromycota; Glomeromycetes; Glomerales; Glomeraceae. RNAcentral also lists the same sequence under 1 other name. The record is from RNAcentral.
CCAAUAGCGUAUAUUAAAGUUGUUGCAGUUAAAAAGCUCGUAGUUGAAUUUCGGGAUUGACACAUCGGUCGUGCCUUAAGGGGUAUGAACUGGUGUAGUCAAUUUCUCACCUUCUGGAGAACCGCGAUGUCCUUAAUUGGGUGCCGCGGGGAACCAGGACCUUUACUUUGAAAAAAUUAGAGUGUUUAAAGCAGGCAUUU